GACGAACGCUGGCGGCGUGCUUAACACAUGCAAGUCGAACGGAAAGGCCCUGCUUUUGUGGGGUGCUCGAGUGGCGAACGGGUGAGUAACACGUGAGUAACCUGCCCUUGACUUUGGGAUAACUUCAGGAAACUGGGGCUAAUACCGGAUAGGAGCUCCUGCUGCAUGGUGGGGGUUGGAAAGUUUCGGCGGUUGGGGAUGGACUCGCGGCUUAUCAGCUUGUUGGUGGGGUAGUGGCUUUCCAAGGCUUUGACGGGUAGCCGGCCUGAGAGGGUGACCGGCCACAUUGGGACUGAGAUACGGCCCAGACUCCUACGGGAGGCAGCAGUGGGGAAUAUUGCACAAUGGGCGGAAGCCUGAUGCAGCAACGCCGCGUGCGGGAUGACGGCCUUCGGGUUGUAAACCGCUUUCGCCGGUGACGAAGCGUGAGUGACGGUAAUGGGUAAAGAAGCACCGGCUAACUACGUG
Molecule: ribosomal RNA, 468 nt
Filed under: uncultured bacterium
Lineage: Bacteria
Description: partial 16S ribosomal RNA
Rfam family: Bacterial small subunit ribosomal RNA
Source: RNAcentral